Molecule: long non-coding RNA, 252 nt
Filed under: Vigna radiata
Lineage: Eukaryota; Viridiplantae; Streptophyta; Magnoliopsida; Fabales; Fabaceae
Description: long non-coding RNA (VRAD_LNC006071)
Source: RNAcentral
AAAGAGUCUGCAAUUGCGCUCCUUUUGCCAAAGAUAUAAAUCCUAGGACGUUUAGGUCCUUUAAAUAGAGCAAAACAGAACAGAAAACAAAGUCUGGCCCAUGUCGCUGGCACUCAAGUGCCCCAUUUAGGGCACCCAGGCGGUGAGCGGCAGUCUUUGACACUUAAGCCUCCAGAAUAGUGCCCAAGUUUCGUGCCUUCGACGCUCAAGCGCCCCAAAGGGGCGCCCGGGCGGUGAGCGACACUCUUCUGC